Molecule: unclassified non-coding RNA, 211 nt
Filed under: Hevea brasiliensis (rubber tree)
Lineage: Eukaryota; Viridiplantae; Streptophyta; Magnoliopsida; Malpighiales; Euphorbiaceae
Source: RNAcentral
GGAGGACCAGCAAUACUGUAUUUCGUUCCCUGAUUUCCCGGGAGGUUCAGAGACAUUUGAGACGGCUGCCAAGUUCUGUUAUGGUGUGAAAAUCGAGUUGUCUGCAUUGAACGUUGCUCCACUCCGCUGUGCGGGUGAGUACUUGGAGAUGACUGAAGAGUACUCUGAGGAUAACCUCAUUUCCAAGACGGAGAGGUUUCUUUCACAGACA